CACUUCCGGUGCUCCCAGAGGCUGCGCCCUGGGACACCGCUUCUAGAGAGGAGUGGUUCACACAGGCGCACGGGGUGGGGACAGACCUAGCAUCGGAGCCAGACCCCGUCACCGCACGGGCCUGAGAAACCAGCGAGGCUCGUUACAAGGCCAGGCGCCUGUGAGUCACACUUUGCUGCUCCUGUUUGAGUUCUCAGAUAUCUAAGAGUAGUCGUUAGGUAAAUACACAUCGACAUGCUCCUUCUCUAGCCACUUCCGCACCAUGUGCCCAUGGCAACCAGGAAGGCAGCGGAGAGGCCCUGGGGCGAUGAGGGGAGCUGCCGUAGAGACACAAUCCGCGCUGUCAUCACUAAGAAACAAUUUUCACAAAACUGCAAAAGGUCAGGGAAAUACUUUCUUAAAAGACACUUGUGAAUUGUCUACCUGAAACAGAAACCAGCAGUGUUAGCAGCUGACACUUUAGCCCUGGAACAUGGACCAGAACUUUCGGCUACACGUGGUGCUGACGUGAGACCCACCAUGAGAACUGUGCACCGAAGCUGUCGCUGAACUCCACAAGGACUUGCCAUGCUCAGAAACCAGGGCUGGGAGGUCACCGUUCUCCAGGCCACAGCGAGGGUCAGCCUUACUCCAGCCUGGGGCCAGACAAGACACAUGAAGUUGGCUGAGUCAUUGCUGUCUAGACAAGAGGACCCCACCCAAAUCUGCUGGACUUGACUCAGGCUAGUUCAGCAAACCCAGUCACAGAGACCAGGCCCUGCACCUCGUCCACAUUGACUCCCGUGGGUGACACCAAGUUUUCACCAACAAUCACCCCUCCCAACAUGCUCUGUAGCAACAAUGAUCCAACCUCAACUUGGAAGGCAAGAAACUGGAGAGAAAAUCACCCCAAAUGGAACAAAUAAGCCAGAUAAUCUGUAAAAUUAUGACCUUGAACCCAUCAGAGAGGUGAGAGAUCUCAGAGCAACUGAGAAGCCUGAAGCCAUACCCCUUGCAGGAGAUGCAGGACAGGAGCCUGGCCUCCCAGGGCCUGGUGCAGGACCAGGGCAACAGGCCCACCAGGGCAAUGAGAAGAUCCCCACCAGGCAUCCUGGGCGGGAUGGGUAGGCUGAGGACAGAUGUGAGGACGAAGCGCAUCCUUCCUCGUGGACAAGCUCCAAGCUGCUAAGAGGAAAACAGCGCAGCCUGCCACCCAGCCUGCUGCAAGUUCAGAAGAGGACAGAAUCCAGCCCUCCUCCACCAGGCAGGGGCAUGGAGCAACUCUGGGCGCAGCCCACAACCGGUCCCCUACUCCUGGGGCAGAGGCACACUAUGAGGAAACCCGCGCUCCAAGAUGGAGAGACCCACCGAAGUGCCAGGCUGAAAGUGGAGAGAGCCUACUACCCACCACAACUGGAGGCCAAGAGAGGGAGGGAAAGGGUUCAGAUGUGUUACGCACGUGCACCAACUCCCCACGAGGGGUGCAAACAGUAUGUACUACAGACAUGUACAGAUAAAUACAGAAAACAUCUAAUACACUGAAAUGGUUUCAAUGAAAUUAUUUUUAAUUUCCCUGUCAAAGGUUAAUAAUGAUGAUUCUCAAACUCUUCUGGAUGUCCUGCGUUGUCCAUGAAUCAUCUCAUUCAUUCCUCACAGCAGGCCCAUAGGACCCCCUCACCCACACAGUGGGAGGGAGGAGGCUACCACCUGGGAAGGCUCAAACACAACUUUGCUCUACCUCUGCUCCAGACACCUCUAGCAGGACUUAGAAC
Long non-coding RNA from Heterocephalus glaber (naked mole-rat), 1751 nucleotides. Lineage: Eukaryota; Metazoa; Chordata; Mammalia; Rodentia; Bathyergidae. The record is from Ensembl.